CCUACGGUGGGCUGCAGUGGGGGAUAUUGCACAAUGUGGGGAACCCUGAUGCAGCGCCGCCGCGUGGGUGAAGAAGCGCCUCGGCGCGUAAAGCCCUGUCAGCAGGGAAGAAAAUGACGGUACCUGAAGAAGAAGCCCCGGCUAACUACGUGCCAGCAGCCGCGGUAAUACGAAGGGGGCAAGCGUUAUCCGGAUUUACUGGGUGUAAAGGUGGCGCAGACGGCGAUGAAAGCCAGGAGUGAAGGCUCGUGGCCCAACCCCGGGACUGCUCUUGGAACUGCGUGGCUGGAGUGCAGGAGGGGCAGGCGGAAUGCCUGGUGUAGCGGUGAAAUGCGUAGAUAUCAGGAGGAACACCGGUGGAGAAGGCGGCCUGCUGGACUGCAACUGACGUUGAGGCCCGAAAGCGUGGGGAGCAAACAGGAUUAGAUACCCUGGUAGUC
RNAcentral lists this ribosomal RNA (440 nucleotides) under uncultured bacterium. Its description in RNAcentral is "partial 16S ribosomal RNA". It matches the Rfam family "Bacterial small subunit ribosomal RNA", at positions 338 to 795 of the family's 1533-position model. The record is from RNAcentral.